GACGUAGGGGGCGAGCGUUGUCCGGAUUUAUUGGGCGUAAAGCGUGCGUAGGCGGCUGCGCAAGUCGGGUGUGAAACCCCGGGGCUCAACCCCGGAACUGCAUCCGAUACUGCGUGGCUAGAGGUAGGUAGGGGAGAUCGGAAUUACUGGUGUAGCGGUGAAAUGCGCAGAUAUCAGGAGGAACACCGGUGGCGAAGGCGGAUCUCUGGGCCUUACCUGACGCUCAGGCACGAAAGCUAGGGGAGCGAACAGG
RNAcentral lists this ribosomal RNA (253 nucleotides) under uncultured bacterium. Its description in RNAcentral is "partial 16S ribosomal RNA". It matches the Rfam family "Bacterial small subunit ribosomal RNA", at positions 524 to 776 of the family's 1533-position model. The record is from RNAcentral.